RNAcentral lists this transfer RNA (76 nucleotides) under Deltaproteobacteria bacterium. Its description in RNAcentral is "tRNA-Val". It matches the Rfam family "tRNA". Rfam says of the family: Transfer RNA (tRNA) molecules are approximately 80 nucleotides in length. Their secondary structure includes four short double-helical elements and three loops (D, anti-codon, and T loops). The record is from RNAcentral. Lineage: Bacteria; Pseudomonadati; Myxococcota; Myxococcia.
GGGCGGGUAGCUCAGUUGGGAGAGCAUCUGCCUUACAAGCAGGGGGUCGCAGGUUCAAGCCCUGUCCCGCCCACCA